CAACUUUCAACAACGGAUCUCUUGGUUCUGGCAUCGAUGAAGAACGCAGCGAAAUGCGAUACGUAGUGUGAAUUGCAGAAUUCAGUGAAUCAUCGAAUCUUUGAACGCACAUUGCGCCCUUUGGUAUUCCAAAGGGCAUGCCUGUUCGAGCGUCAUUUGUACCCUCAAGCUUUGCUUGGUGUUGGGCGUUUUUGUCUUUGGCCCGCCAAAGACUCGCCUUAAAAUGAUUGGCAGCCGGCCUACUGGUUUCGCAGCGCAGCACAUUUUUGCGCUUGCAAUCAGCAAAAGAGGACGGCAACCCAUCAAGACUCCUUCUCAC
This 319-nucleotide ribosomal RNA is filed under the name Curvularia spicifera. Its description in RNAcentral is "5.8S ribosomal RNA". The stretch from base 2 to 155 matches the Rfam family "5.8S ribosomal RNA". Lineage: Eukaryota; Fungi; Ascomycota; Dothideomycetes; Pleosporales; Pleosporaceae. The record is from RNAcentral.